This is a long non-coding RNA of Drosophila albomicans, 423 nucleotides long. RefSeq lists it as uncharacterized. The transcript is spliced from 2 exons. NCBI's taxonomy places the organism in Eukaryota, Metazoa, Arthropoda, Insecta, Diptera, Drosophilidae. The record is from RefSeq and is a predicted model, not a curated record.
CAAAGUAGGCACAUCUUUAUUAAAGAUGUCAAAUCUUGCCAGAGAUUCAUUUUCAAUCAGUAGUGAAAACUCGUUCGGACUAGAAAUCAAGUUUUGUCAAUUUAAAUUUAAUAAUAAUUGCGAUGGCUGCGUCGAACUACGACGAAUGUGUUAUAUUGAAAAUGCAACCAGAGAACGAAGGAAAAAUGUGGAUUUUUGUGGUAUUGGCUUUUAACUUUACAAUUAUUCUGGCCGUAAUUAUAGUUCAAGGUAUAAGAGUAAGGAUGCGAUAGGACGAAUAUUACUAAACAAAACUCGACUCGAGAGGCAACAUCUAGCAGGCGAGGAGAAUGUCCUGCAACUCGUUUUAUAGAUCCUGAAAAUACACAAACAAGAAAAGAACAAAUAAAUAUAAAUAAAUAUAUUUAUUUCAUUUUGAUUGUA